RNAcentral lists this ribosomal RNA (502 nucleotides) under uncultured bacterium. RNAcentral's name for it is "bacterial SSU rRNA". It matches the Rfam family "Bacterial small subunit ribosomal RNA", at positions 29 to 509 of the family's 1533-position model. The record is from RNAcentral.
AACGAACGCUGGCGGCGUGCCUAACACAUGCAAGUCGCACGAGAAAGGUCUUCGGACCGAGUAAAGUGGCGGACGGGUGAGUAACGCAUGGAUAACCUGCCUUCGAGUGGGGGAUAACCCCGGGAAACCGGGGCUAAUACCGCAUGACAAGACCUGGGCUUCGGCCUGGGAUUUCAAAGCCGGCCUCUGCUUGCAAGCUGGCGCUCGAAGAGGGGUCCAUGUCCCAUUAGCUAGUUGGUGAGGUAACGGCUCACCAAGGCGACGAUGGGUAGCCGACCUGAGAGGGUGAUCGGCCACACUGGGACUGAGACACGGCCCAGACUCCUACGGGAGGCAGCAGUGGGGAAUCUUGCGCAAUGGGCGAAAGCCUGACGCAGCGACGCCGCGUGGAGGAUGAAGACCCUUGGGUCGUAAACUCCUGUCAGCUGGGAAGAAAGGUGCCUGGUGAACAUCCGGGCACCCUGACUGUACCAGCAGAGGAAGCCCCGGCUAACUCCGUGCC